RNAcentral lists this ribosomal RNA (540 nucleotides) under uncultured Sphingomonas sp. Its description in RNAcentral is "bacterial SSU rRNA". It matches the Rfam family "Bacterial small subunit ribosomal RNA", at positions 963 to 1501 of the family's 1533-position model. The record is from RNAcentral. Lineage: Bacteria; Pseudomonadati; Pseudomonadota; Alphaproteobacteria; Sphingomonadales; Sphingomonadaceae.
GCAGAACCUUACCAACGUUUGACAUCCCUAUCGCGGAUCGUGGAGACACUUUCCUUCAGUUCGGCUGGAUAGGUGACAGGUGCUGCAUGGCUGUCGUCAGCUCGUGUCGUGAGAUGUUGGGUUAAGUCCCGCAACGAGCGCAACCCUCGCCUUUAGUUGCCAGCAUUUAGUUGGGUACUCUAAAGGAACCGCCGGUGAUAAGCCGGAGGAAGGUGGGGAUGACGUCAAGUCCUCAUGGCCCUUACGCGUUGGGCUACACACGUGCUACAAUGGCGACUACAGUGGGCAGCCACCUCGCGAGAGGGAGCUAAUCUCCAAAAGUCGUCUCAGUUCGGAUCGUUCUCUGCAACUCGAGAGCGUGAAGGCGGAAUCGCUAGUAAUCGCGGAUCAGCAUGCCGCGGUGAAUACGUUCCCAGGCCUUGUACACACCGCCCGUCACACCAUGGGAGUUGGAUUCACUCGAAGGCGUUGAGCUAACCGUAAGGAGGCAGGCGACCACAGUGGGUUUAGCGACUGGGGUGAAGUCGUAACAAGGUAGCC